This 495-nucleotide ribosomal RNA is filed under the name uncultured bacterium. Its description in RNAcentral is "partial 16S ribosomal RNA". It matches the Rfam family "Bacterial small subunit ribosomal RNA", at positions 28 to 507 of the family's 1533-position model. The record is from RNAcentral.
GACGAACGCUGGCGGCGUGCCUAAUACAUGCAAGUCGAACGCUGAAGGAGGAGCUUGCUUCUCUGGCUGAGUUGCGAACGGGUGCGUAACGCGUAGGUAACCUGCCUGGUAGCGGGGGAUAACUAUUGGAAACGAUAGCUAAUACCGCAUAAGAGUAGAUGUUGCAUGACAUUUGCUUAAAAGGUGCAAUUGCAUCACUACCAGAUGGACCUGCGUUGUAUUAGCUAGUUGGUGAGGUAACGGCUCACCAAGGCGACGAUACAUAGCCGACCUGAGAGGGUGAUCGGCCACACUGGGACUGAGACACGGCCCAGACUCCUACGGGGAGGAGCAAGAGGGAAACUUCGGCAAUGGGCGGAAGUCUGACCGAGCAACGCCGCGGGAGUGAAGAAGGUUUUCGGAUCGUAAAGCUCUGUUGUAAGAGAAGAACGAGUGUGAGAGUGGAAAGUUCACACUGUGACGGUAUCUUACCAGAAAGGGACGGCUAACUACGUG